Molecule: ribosomal RNA, 262 nt
Filed under: uncultured bacterium
Lineage: Bacteria
Description: partial 16S ribosomal RNA
Rfam family: Bacterial small subunit ribosomal RNA
Source: RNAcentral
GUCCACGCCUAACGAUGGGCACUAAGUGUCGGAGGUAUUGAGCCCUCCGGUGCCGCAGCUAACGCAUUAAGUGCCCGCCUGGGAGUACGGCCGCAAGGUUGAACUCAAAGGAAUUGACGGGCCCGCACAAGCGGUGGAGCAUGUGGUUCAAUUCGACGCAACGCGAAGAACCUUACCUGGGCUUGACAUGCUGGUAGUAGAAACCUGAAAGGGCAACGAGCCCCGCAAGGGGAAGCCAGCACAGGUGCUGCAUGGCUGUCGU